UAGUAUCAGCCCUACGGGAGGCAGCAGUGAGGAAUAUUGGACAAUGGGCGAGAGCCUGAUCCAGCCAUGCCGCGUGCAGGAAGACUGCCCUAUGGGUUGUAAACUGCUUUUAUACAGGAAGAAUAAGCCUUACGUGUAAGGUGAUGACGGUACUGUAAGAAUAAGGACCGGCUAACUCCGUGCCAGCAGCCGCGGUAAUACGGAGGGUCCGAGCGUUAUCCGGAAUUAUUGGGUUUAAAGGGUCCGUAGGCGGAUGAUUAAGUCAGGGGUGAAAGUUUGCAGCUCAACUGUAAAAUUGCCUUUGAUACUGGUCAUCUUGAGUUGUAUUGAAGUAGGCGGAAUAUGUAGUGUAGCGGUGAAAUGCAUAGAUAUUACAUAGAACACCAAUUGCGAAGGCAGCUUACUAAGUACUAACUGACGCUGAUGGACGAAAGCGUGGGUAGCGAACAGGAUUAGAUACCCCGGUAGUCCA
This 472-nucleotide ribosomal RNA is filed under the name uncultured Flavobacteriaceae bacterium. Its description in RNAcentral is "bacterial SSU rRNA". It matches the Rfam family "Bacterial small subunit ribosomal RNA", at positions 326 to 797 of the family's 1533-position model. The record is from RNAcentral. Lineage: Bacteria; Pseudomonadati; Bacteroidota; Flavobacteriia; Flavobacteriales; Flavobacteriaceae.